UCAUCCUUGUUCUAUUAUCAUUCAACCUUUGCAUUACUCUAAAACUAACUCUACAGUCAUCUUCAAAUGAUUGAUUUUGGUGUCGCUCUUUAUUCUAUUUCAUGUUUCCUGUUUCUUAAUCUAUGACAUCUUGUGGAUUCUAAAACAUGAGAAAUUCAUCUCUCUAAUCUUAGAGACACUUUGAAAAACUUGAAGCAUUAAGGAUGGAUAUAUGGUUAUUUCCAUUGAUUGUUCAUAUAACUUGAGAUAUUGGUUGUUUAUUUUAAUCUCUCUGCACUAUGUUAAUUAGUGAGAAGAACCAUCACAGUUAGAACAUUAGUAUCCUUAAUGUGCAUAUGAAGUGUUUGCAAAAUGUCCUAAGUAAGUAUUAGUAUUUAGACUUGAGUUAGCAGAGGUAGUUUAUUAUGCAUGAAGGUGGUAAAUGGUAGCAUUUUUAAUGUCUUUUUUAUAUAGUUUGAUUUAAUGUUGCACCUCUGUUUUUUAUUUUUAUUAUUUAAAAAUUAUUGUUGGUGUUUAAUUUGGAUUUUGCAUAGAAAAUACUUUGAGAUACUUUUGUUUUCAUGUGAGUAUUUGAUAAUUGACACCAGUUCUAUAUUGUAUUUCUUUGUGCUUGGAGUGAUUGACUUGAUAAACAGCCAUGGUGUUCAUUGUGUUUUCACCAAAUAAGAUUAUUUUAUUUUAACACAUGAGAUUUAAGGGAUUAUUUGUAUGCUUGCUGACUGUUUUUGGCGGUGGGUAGGUGCACACUUCUGUACCUAGCUCCAAGCAAGGCCAUGGGAGGAAACUUUCCGUUGGAAGUAAAAGGGUUUUUGUAGUUAGAGCUGCAUCAUCGUCUGCAGAGUCAUCUGGAUCUAGUUGUAAUAUUGCCCCACUGAAGCUGGAGUCUCCAAUCGGGCAGUUUCUCUCUCAGAUUUUGGUUAGUCACCCACAUCUCAUGUCUGCUGCAGUGGAGAAGCAACUAGAGCAAUUCCAAACUGAUCGUGAUGGUGAUGAACAAAAGGAAAAGCCUUCUGCUUCAGGAACUGACUUAGUUUUGUACAGGAGCGAUUCGUAAAAAGAAGACAACAUCUUGUGGAUCCCAAUUCUUCCACCUUGAAGUUAAGCUUUGUAACUUAUUUUUCUGCAACUAUAAUGGUGCAAGUUCUUGAAAUACUCUCAGGCUGCUACAUUCUCGUUCAGAUGAAUGAUGGUGAUACCGAUGAAGAAUUUCAACAUUUGAAAGCACAAGAUUUAUAUAUAUCGAUAUUUAAGUUUUGUUUUUGUUUUUUUAUAGACGGGUAUUUUUAUUUCAAAGAUGUUAUUUUGAUUGCCUCCUCAUCUCUAGAACAUAAAUAAGAGAAAUUGAAUUAAUACAUCAUAUGAAUGACCAACAGUUACAAUGUCUCAUCAA
Cicer arietinum (chickpea) is the source of this 1390-nucleotide RNA transcript. It is a transcript of the gene named UV-B-induced protein At3g17800, chloroplastic-like, with no coding region annotated. The record is from RefSeq and is a predicted model, not a curated record. NCBI's taxonomy places the organism in Eukaryota, Viridiplantae, Streptophyta, Magnoliopsida, Fabales, Fabaceae.